UCCCCUAGUAACUGCGAGUGAAGCGGGAAAAGCUCAAAUUUAAAAUCUGGCAGUCUCUGGCUGUCCGAGUUGUAAUCUAGAGAAGUGUUAUCCGCGCUGGACCAUGUACAAGUCUCCUGGAACGGAGCGUCAUAGAGGGUGAGAAUCCCGUCUUUGACAUGGACUACCAGGGCUUUGUGAUGCGCUCUCAAAGAGUCGAGUUGUUUGGGAAUGCAGCUCAAAAUGGGUGGUAAAUUCCAUCUAAAGCUAAAUAUUGGCGAGAGACCGAUAGCGAACAAGUACCGUGAGGGAAAGAUGAAAAGAACUUUGGAAAGAGAGUUAAACAGUACGUGAAAUUGUUGAAAGGGAAACGCUUGAAGUCAGUCGCAUUGGCCAGGGAUCAACCUUACAUUUGUUGGGUGUACUUUCUGGUUAAUGGGUCAGCAUCAAUUUUGACUGUUGGAAAAAGGUCAGGGGAAUGUGGCAUCUUCGGAUGUGUUAUAGCCCUUGGUUGUAUACAGCAGUUGGGAUUGAGGAACUCAGCACGCCGCAAGGCCGGGUUUUUAACCACGUACGUGCUUAGGAUGCUGGCAUAAUGGCUUUAAUCGACCCGUCUUGAAACACGGACCAAGGAGUCUAACAUGCCUGCGAGUGUUUGGGUGGAAAACCCAUGCGCGUAAUGAAAGUGAAA
This 670-nucleotide ribosomal RNA is filed under the name Melanoleuca sp. Its description in RNAcentral is "LSU rRNA". It matches the Rfam family "Eukaryotic large subunit ribosomal RNA", at positions 76 to 730 of the family's 3401-position model. Lineage: Eukaryota; Fungi; Basidiomycota; Agaricomycetes; Agaricales; Pluteaceae. The record is from RNAcentral.